AACAGUAUUACACAAUGAAGCAGCGUGUUGCAAACUGGUGUGUGGGUGGGCCAGGUUGCAACACGCUGCUUCAUUGUGUGAUACUGUU
Non-coding RNA from Pelobates cultripes (western spadefoot toad), 88 nucleotides. The record is from the annotation of a GenBank genome assembly. NCBI's taxonomy places the organism in Eukaryota, Metazoa, Chordata, Amphibia, Anura, Pelobatidae.